UGUUUGCACACUGGGGAUCAGAC
This 23-nucleotide unclassified non-coding RNA is filed under the name Mus musculus (house mouse). RNAcentral describes it as "oocyte_clustered_small_RNA8766". Lineage: Eukaryota; Metazoa; Chordata; Mammalia; Rodentia; Muridae. The record is from RNAcentral.